This 513-nucleotide ribosomal RNA is filed under the name uncultured bacterium. Its description in RNAcentral is "bacterial SSU rRNA". It matches the Rfam family "Bacterial small subunit ribosomal RNA", at positions 15 to 518 of the family's 1533-position model. The record is from RNAcentral.
GAUCCUGGCUUAGGAUGAACGCUAGCUACAGGCUAACACAUGCAAGUCGAGGGGCAGCAUAUCGAAAGCUUGCUUUGAUGACGGCGACCGGCGCACGGGUGAGUAACGCGUAUCCAACCUUCCCUAUACUAGAGGAUAGCCCGGCGAAAGUCGGAUUAAUACUCUAUGUUCUUCGUAGAAGACAUCUGAAAUGAAGCAAAGGUUUACCGGUAUAGGAUGGGGAUGCGUCUGAUUAGGUUGUUGGCGGGGUAACGGCCCACCAAGCCCACGAUCAGUAGGGGUUCUGAGAGGAAGGUCCCCCACAUUGGAACUGAGACGCGGUCCAAACUCCUACGGGAGGCAGCAGUGAGGAAUAUUGGUCAAUGGACGAGAGUCUGAACCAGCCAAGUAGCCGUGCAGGAUGACGGCCCUAUGGGUUGUAAACUGCUUUUAUACAGGGAUAAAGUGACGUACGUGUACGUUUUUGUAGGUACUGUAUGAAUAAGGACCGGCUAAUUCCGUGCCAGCCGCAGC